GGAGUUAGCCGGUGCUUCUUCUGUGAGUGAUGUCCUUCCUGCCGGCUAUUAACCCGCAGGCCUUCUUCCUCACUGAAAGUGCUUUACAACCCGAAGGCCUUCUUCACACACGCGGCAUGGCUGGAUCAGGGUUGCCCCCAUUGUCCAAUAUUCCCCACUGCUGCCUCCCGUAGGAGUCUGGGCCGUGUCUCAGUCCCAGUGUGGCUGAUCAUCCUCUCAGACCAGCUACGGAUCGUCGCCUUGGUGAGCCGUUACCUCACCAACCAGCUAAUCCGACAUAGGCUCAUCCGAUAGCGCGAGGCCCGAAGGUCCCCCGCUUUCCCCCGUAGGGCGUAUGCGGUAUUAGCCUGGGUUUCCCCAGGUUAUCCCCCACUACCGGGCAGAUUCCUAUGCAUUACUCACCCGUCCGCCGCUCGCCACCAGGGAGCAAGCUCCCCGUGCUGCCGCUCGACUUGCAUGUGUUAGGCCUGCCGCCAGCGUUCAAUCUGAGCCAAAUCAAACUCUGA
Molecule: ribosomal RNA, 506 nt
Filed under: uncultured bacterium
Lineage: Bacteria
Description: partial 16S ribosomal RNA
Source: RNAcentral